This is a long non-coding RNA of Erinaceus europaeus (western European hedgehog), 844 nucleotides long. RefSeq lists it as uncharacterized. Lineage: Eukaryota; Metazoa; Chordata; Mammalia; Eulipotyphla; Erinaceidae. The record is from RefSeq and is a predicted model, not a curated record. The transcript is spliced from 6 exons.
GUGGAGAGGUGACACCCUGUGUGUGUGUGUGUGUGUGUGGAGAGGUGACACCCCCAGGUGUGUGUGUGUGUGUGGAGAGGUGACACCCCUCCCGUGUGGAGCAGGUGAGGGCGGUGGAGCCACAGGUUCCACGACUGCCGAUGUCCCUGGGGUGACCUGCAGGAGCCGGAGGGGGGCGGCCUGAGGAAGGCAGGCGGGGGCCAGCACAGCACCGUGAAUGCUCCCUAGGAGGCAGAUGGGAGGAGAGGGCAGUCACCUCGCCGCUACAGCCCCUGCCCCAGCGGAGAAGCCUGCGGUGGGAGCCAUGCAGCACCUGGGGCCGGCAGCCCGGCGCCCUGUCCGGACAGAAUGACCUUCCCCAGGAAGAGCCGUGCCCAGGGCCGGACUCCCAGCAGCCACACAAUGUAGAGCAGGUGGGAAAGGACUGGUCCUCUGCGGUGACGAAGGCGCAGUGGGAGCCUGCCUGGAGGAGGCAGGUUCAGUGACUUGGCGGGAGCACAUGGAGAGCGUCCGUGCGGUUCCCCACCUGCCGCCCAUCCUGCAGUUGUGCGGUCCACGUUUGGGAACGCAGCCAUGAGCCUCGCCCGGGGAGAGCCAGCUCCGUGACUCUGGGGUCUCCACUGCCAGCAGGAGUAACUUGAGCCACUUUCACUGGAAGUCCGCUUGCUGAAACAUUGGUUCUUGAGCUUGGCAGAAAGGGUUAUCGCUGGGGCUCAGUGCCUACACUACAAAUCUUCACUGCUCCUGGAGGCCAUUUUGUUGUCGUUGUCCUUGUCAGAUAGGACGGACACCUGCAGACCUGCUUCACCACUUGCAAAGUGACGCCCCUGCAGGCCGGCCGCCG